RNAcentral lists this ribosomal RNA (757 nucleotides) under uncultured archaeon. RNAcentral describes it as "bacterial SSU rRNA". It matches the Rfam family "Archaeal small subunit ribosomal RNA", at positions 102 to 859 of the family's 1478-position model. The record is from RNAcentral.
GGAUAACCUACCCUUAGGACUGGGAUAACCCUGGGAAACUGGGGAUAAUACUGGAUAGGCAAUUAUUCCUGUAAUGGUUUUUUGUUUAAAUGUUUUUUCGCCUAAGGAUGGGUCUGCGGCCGAUUAGGUAGUUGGUUAGGUAAUGGCUUACCAAGCCUUUGAUCGGUACGGGUUGUGAGAGCAAGAGCCCGGAGAUGGAACCUGAGACAAGGUUCCAGGCCCUACGGGGUGCAGCAGGCGCGAAACCUCCGCAAUGUGAGAAAUCGCGACGGGGGGACCCCAAGUGCCAUUCUUAACGGGAUGGCUUUUCAUUAGUGUAAAGAGCUUUUGGAAUAAGAGCUGGGCAAGACCGGUGCCAGCCGCCGCGGUAACACCGGCAGCUCUAGUGGUAGCAGUUUUUAUUGGGCCUAAAGCGUCCGUAGCCGGUUUAAUAAGUCUCUGGUGAAAUCCUGCAGCUUAACUGUGGGAAUUGCUGGAGAUACUAUUAGACUUGAGAUCGGGAGAGGUUAGAGGUACUCCCAGGGUAGAGGUGAAAUUCUGUAAUCCUGGGAGGACCGCCUGUUGCGAAGGCGUCUGACUGGAACGAUUCUGACGGUGAGGGACGAAAGCUAGGGGCGCGAACCGGAUUAGAUACCCGGGUAGUCCUAGCUGUAAACGAUGCGGACUUGGUGUUGGGGUGGCUUUGAGCUGUCCCAGUGCCGAAGGGAAGCUGUUAAGUCCGCCGCCUGGGAAGUACGGUCGCAAGACUGAAACUUAA